CCCAAGUCAAUCCUUUUAACGGCGUAAUUCACCGUGAAAUUCUGAAACACCGGCGCCGCGUGCGUGAAACUGAACCCACAGUCAACCACAAGACUACACUGCGUCUCCGACAACAGCCCGUACGGUCGCCGGCUGGCCUCGUAGAGGUGAACUAACGACGGCGGGUCGGCAACGAAGAGCGACUUGAAGUUGAAGUCCUCGAAGACGAGCUCGUCGGUGGCGCGUUGGAUAGAGGGAAGCGCGAAGAGGGGUUCGGUGAGUAGGAGAGAGGAGGCGGAGGGGCUGAUGUGGAGGAGAGAGGAGAAGAGGUGGGCCCAGAUGUCGCGCUGGAGGUCGCUAUUUAUAAGGUAACCGCGGUCAAUGGGGCGGCGGACGGCGGCAGAGGUCAGGUCUUCGGUGGCGGAGGCGGCGGUGGGAGAUGGGUGGAUGAAUUUUUUGGAGGAGAGUGGACGGUACAUGCAGUUGGGUAUUGUGACGGCGGGGUCACGCUCGCCGCCAUGACCCGCUUUUAUGAGGCCGCCACCAUUGUCUAGAACGACGAUAUUUGACAUCUCCGAGGAUGAGAUGUGGGUGCUGGAAUUGUUACAUUUGAGUGAAGUGGUUGACGAGCAGGUGCUGGGGUUUUAAGGGUUUAUUGGAGAAUUCUUUUUCUAACUUUCGGUUAUCAGUGAAUAUUUAGAAAUAUGAGAAUUUAUUAAUCAUCUGCCCAGAGUUAUGCCAAUUAUUAGAAAUACACCCUUUCAAAAAAAAAAUAUUAUUAAAAAUACACAAAUAUUUAAGUUUUUCACCAUAAAUUUGUAUCAAUUUUAACGAAUAUUUAUAACAUGUUGUUUAUAUCUACUCCGGAGUAAAUAUUUAACCACGCGCGGUUAAUCGUAUCAUCAUACAAAUGAUAAUGUCCGAAAACUUUAUGGAAUCUAUACAAUAUGUUGUUUUUUAUGACACUUACUAUUAUAAACACUGAUUAAAUUAUUUUAAAGAAAUUAAUCUAAGAUUAUUUAUUUAUUAUUGUAAGUAUUAAUAAAUUAAUAUAAUAAAUGAAUAUGUUUUCAUCAUAUUUUUAUUAGGAUCCAAUUUGAACAAAUUGAUUGCUCUCACCAAAUCUAUCUUUAAUCAAUUAAAAUAAGUAGAUUUAUAUUGGGGAAAAGAUAGGGUUAAUAAGGAUUUAAAUGUGCUUUUCUUAUGUUUGAAGGCAAGUGGCGUAGUUGAGGUGCACUAGGCGGUGGGUAAUAACAUGAAGAACUCAAUGAGCUUGGGAGAUAGCUCAGAUGAACUCAAAUAUGAGAUAAGACAUAAGCAUCAACGUCAUCACAAUAAACUGAAAAUAAACACACACACACACACACAAAAUUGAAAUUUGUGUGAUUCACCCCUUCAUCUUAUAUCCACGAGAGUAAUUCAUCUCUAAUCUACUAUGUAUUUAAAGUAUUAAAUGAUUUUCAUUACAAUAUGAACAAAAUCUCAUUAAAUGUCGUUUAUGGUGUUUAACAACAUAUAGGAGAACAAGAAUAAGAACAUGUGGUAAACAAGAUCUUUUAUAGAACUAUAAAAUAAAGGAAGAAACCUUAAAAUUGAAGGGAAAAUAGAAUGAAGUAGCCUUAUACCCAUUAUAUGCAUCAUAAUCAUCUACAGAUUUCACUUAAAUAAACACGUAACGGCAAGAUAGAGUUAUUCUGCCAAUACCCAUCUUAAUUUUGUUGCUAUAACAAGACCGGGUAAACAAAAACAGAGGAAACUACAAUCACCUCUUUGUUGCCCUCCAAGUUAAUCACUCAGCUGAACACUUUAUUUUUCGAAGGGGUAAAUAAACAACAAUAAUUUAUUUUUAUUUUUUAAAAAAAAGAACCUGGCAAUUUGAAGAUCACGCGCGACAUCGAGGGAGACAAAGCACAACUUCUCCUUAACAUCAUCGAUAAUGAAAGUCUCAUCCAUAACGUUAAUAGCGCGAUACGAUACCAGCUCCUUCAAGUAAUUAGUCAACGCCUUACCGCCCAAGUCAAUCCUUUUAACGGCGUAAUUCACCGUGAAAUUCUGAAACACCGGCGCCGCGUGCGUGAAACUGAACCCACAGUCAACCACAAGACUACACUGCGUCUCCGACAACAGCCCGUACGGUCGCCGGCUGGCCUCGUAGAGGUGAACUAACGACGGCGGGUCGGCAACGAAGAGCGACUUGAAGUUGAAGUCCUCGAAGACGAGCUCGUCGGUGGCGCGUUGGAUAGAGGGAAGCGCGAAGAGGGGUUCGGUGAGUAGGAGAGAGGAGGCGGAGGGGCUGAUGUGGAGGAGAGAGGAGAAGAGGUGGGCCCAGAUGUCGCGCUGGAGGUCGCUAUUUAUAAGGUAACCGCGGUCAAUGGGGCGGCGGACGGCGGCAGAGGUCAGGUCUUCGGUGGCGGAGGCGGCGGUGGGAGAUGGGUGGAUGAAUUUUUUGGAGGAGAGUGGACGGUACAUGCAGUUGGGUAUUGUGACGGCGGGGUCACGCUCGCCGCCAUGACCCGCUUUUAUGAGGCCGCCACCAUUGUCUAGAACGACGAUAUUUGACAUCUCCGAGGAUGAGAUGUGGGUGCUGGAAUU
This 2571-nucleotide long non-coding RNA is filed under the name Citrus sinensis (sweet orange). Its description in RNAcentral is "long non-coding RNA (CSIN_LNC001819)". Lineage: Eukaryota; Viridiplantae; Streptophyta; Magnoliopsida; Sapindales; Rutaceae. The record is from RNAcentral.